GAUAUAGCUGGUUUUCUGCGAAAUCUAUUUUGGUAGAUGACUUGUUAUUAUUUGUAGUGGGUAUAGCACUGAAUAUCUAACUUAUGUUAGAAGGGAGUAUGAAGGUACUUACUUUGGAUAUUUAAUCUGAGAAUAGCUAUUAAUAUAUGAUGAGUUAUCAGACUUCUUGCGAUAAGGUGAGGAGUCGAGAGGGAAACAGCCCAGA
Molecule: ribosomal RNA, 205 nt
Filed under: Pneumocystis carinii
Lineage: Eukaryota; Fungi; Ascomycota; Pneumocystomycetes; Pneumocystales; Pneumocystaceae
Description: large subunit ribosomal RNA
Rfam family: Bacterial large subunit ribosomal RNA
Source: RNAcentral